RNAcentral lists this ribosomal RNA (229 nucleotides) under uncultured bacterium. RNAcentral's name for it is "partial 16S ribosomal RNA". It matches the Rfam family "Bacterial small subunit ribosomal RNA", at positions 524 to 751 of the family's 1533-position model. The record is from RNAcentral.
UACGAAGGGGGCUAGCGUUGCUCGGAAUCACUGGGCGUAAAGCGCACGUAGGCGGAUCUUUAAGUCAGGGGUGAAAUCCCAAGGCUCAACCUUGGAACUGCCUUUGAUACUGGGGAUCUCGAGUCCGGAAGAGGUUGGUGGAACUGCGAGUGUAGAGGUGAAAUUCGUAGAUAUUCGCAAGAACACCAGUGGCGAAGGCGGCCAACUGGUCCGGAACGUGACGCUGAGG